AUUUGAUAGUACCUUACUACUUGGAUAACCGUGGUAAUUCUAGAGCUAAUACAUGCUAAAAAUCCCGACUUCGGAAGGGAUGUAUUUAUUAGAUUAAAAACCAAUGCCCUUCGGGGCUCUCUGGUGAUUCAUGAUAACUUCUCGAAUCGCAUGGCCUUGUGCCGGCGAUGGUUCAUUCAAAUUUCUUCCCUAUCAACUUUCGAUGUUUGGGUAUUGGCCAAACAUGGUUGCAACGGGUAACGGAGGGUUAGGGCUCGACCCCGGAGAAGGAGCCUGAGAAACGGCUACUACAUCCAAGGAAGGCAGCAGGCGCGCAAAUUACCCAAUCCCGACACGGGGAGGUAGUGACAAUAAAUACUGAUACAGGGCUCUUUUGGGUCUUGUAAUUGGAAUGAGUACAAUUUAAAUCCCUUAACGAGGAACAAUUGGAGGGCAAGUCUGGUGCCAGCAGCCGCGGUAAUUCCAGCUCCAAUAGCGUAUAUUAAAGUUGUUGUGGUUAAAAAGCUCGUAGUUGAACCUUGGGCCUGGCUGGCCGGUCCGCCUCACCGCGUGUACUGGUCCGGCCGGGCCUUUCCCUCUGUGGAACCCCAUGCCCUUCACUGGGUGUGGCGGGGAAACAGGACUUUUACUUUGAAAAAAUUAGAGUGCUCCAGGCAGGCCUAUGCUCGAAUACAUUAGCAUGGAAUAAUAGAAUAGGACGUGUGGUUCUAUUUUGUUGGUUUCUAGGACCGCCGUAAUGAUUAAUAGGGACAGUCGGGGGCAUCAGUAUUCAAUUGUCAGAGGUGAAAUUCUUGGAUUUAUUGAAGACUAACUACUGCGAAAGCAUUUGCCAAGGAUGUUUUCAUUAAUCAGGAACGAAAGUUAGGGGAUCGAAAACGAUCAAAUACCGUCGUAGUCUUAACCAUAAACUAUGCCGACUAGGGAUCGGACGA
This 932-nucleotide ribosomal RNA is filed under the name Jalapriya aquatica. RNAcentral's name for it is "SSU rRNA". It matches the Rfam family "Eukaryotic small subunit ribosomal RNA", at positions 119 to 1060 of the family's 1831-position model. Lineage: Eukaryota; Fungi; Ascomycota; Dothideomycetes; Pleosporales; Dictyosporiaceae. The record is from RNAcentral.